GCCUCUAGCGAGCUGGUACAUGGCCCGUACCCCAAACCGACACAGGUGGUCAGGUAGAGAAUACUAAGGCGAUCGAGAGAACUGUGGUUAAGGAUCUCGGCAAAAUGCCCCCGUAACUUCGGGAGAAGGGGGACCAGUCCUGGUGACGACAUUUACUGUCUGAGCUGGGGUUGGUCGCAGAGACCAGAGAGAAGCGACUGUUUACUAAAAACACAGGUCCGUGCGAAGUCGUAAGACGAUGUAUACGGACUGACGCCUGCCCGGUGCUGGAAGGUUAAGAGGACCGGUCAGCCACUUCGGUGGCGAAGCUGAGAAUUUAAGCCCCAGUAAACGGCGGUGGUAACUAUAACCAUCCUAAGGUAGCGAAAUUCCUUGUCGGGUAAGUUCCGACCUGCACGAAUGGCGUAACGACUUCUCUGCUGUCUCAACCACAGACUCGGCGAAAUUGCAGUACGAGUAAAGAUGCUCGUUACGCGCGGCAGGACGAAAAGACCCCGGGACCUUCACUAUAGCUUGGUAUUGGUGUUCGGUUCGGUUUGUGUAGGAUAGGUGGGAGACUGUGAAACUCGCACGCCAGUGUGGGUGGAGUCAUUGUUGAAAUACCACUCUGACCGUAUUGGACAUCUAACCUCGGACCAUGAUCUGGUUCAGGGACAGUGCCUGGUGGGUAGUUUAACUGGGGCGGUUGCCUCCUAAAAAGUAACGGAGGCGCCCAAAGGUUCCCUCAGCCUGGUUGGCAAUCAGGUGUUGAGUGUAAGUGCACAAGGGAGCUUGACUGUGAGACGUACAUGUCGAGCAGGGACGAAAGUCGGGACUAGUGAUCCGGCACCGGCAAGUGGAAGCGGUGUCGCUCAACGGAUAAAAGGUACCCCGGGGAUAACAGGCUGAUCUUCCCCAAGAGUCCAUAUCGACGGGAUGGUUUGGCACCUCGAUGUCGGCUCGUCGCAUCCUGGGGCUGGAGUAGGUCCCAAGGGUUGGGCUGUUCGCCCAUUAAAGCGGCACGCGAGCUGGGUUUAGAACGUCGUGAGACAGUUCGGUCUCUAUCCGCCGCGCGCGUAAGAAACUUGAGGAAACCUGUCCCUAGUACGAGAGGACCGGGACGGACGAACCUCUGGUGUGCCAGUUGUUCCACCAGGAGCACCGCUGGUUAGCUACGUUCGGAAGGGAUAACCGCUGAAAGCAUCUAAGCGGGAAGCCUGUUCCAAGAUGAGGUUUCCCACCACCUAGCGUGGUUAAGGCCCCCCACAGACCAUGGGGUUGAUAGGCCAGAACUGUAAGCACAGCAAUGUGUUCAGGUGACUGGUACUAAUCGGCCGAGGACUUAC
RNAcentral lists this ribosomal RNA (1325 nucleotides) under metagenome. RNAcentral's name for it is "bacterial LSU rRNA". It matches the Rfam family "Bacterial large subunit ribosomal RNA", at positions 1617 to 2925 of the family's 2925-position model. The record is from RNAcentral.